This 468-nucleotide ribosomal RNA is filed under the name uncultured bacterium. RNAcentral's name for it is "partial 16S ribosomal RNA". It matches the Rfam family "Bacterial small subunit ribosomal RNA", at positions 28 to 507 of the family's 1533-position model. The record is from RNAcentral.
GACGAACGCUGGCGGCGUGCUUAACACAUGCAAGUCGAACGGAAAGGCCCUGCUUUUGUGGGCUUCUCGAGUGGCGAACGGGUGAGUAACACGUGAGUAACCUGCCCUUGACUUUCGGAUAACUUCAGGAAACUGGGGCUACUACCGUAUAGGAUCUCCUGCUCCAGUGUAGGGGUUGGAAAUUUGCGGCUGUUGUGGAUGGACUCGCGGGUUAUCAGCUUGUUGGUUGGGUAGGUGCUUACCAAGGCUUUGACCGAUAGCCGGCCUGAGAGGGUGACCGGGCACAUUGGGACUAAGAUACGCACCAGACGGGUAUGGGAGGCAAUAGUGGGGAAUAUUGCACAAUGGGCGGAAGUGUGAUGCAGAGACGCUGCGUGCGGGAUGACGGUUUUUGGGUUGUAAACAGCUUUAGCCUGUGACGAAGCGUGAGUGACGGUACUGGGUAAAGAAGCACCGGCUAACUACGUG